GAGGACUUAGUUUAAUUAAAGCGGUUGAUUUGCAUUCAAUUGAUGUAAGAUGUAGUCUUGCAGUCCUUA
This 69-nucleotide transfer RNA is filed under the name Neotragus moschatus (suni). RNAcentral describes it as "tRNA-Ala". It matches the Rfam family "tRNA". From Rfam's summary of the family: Transfer RNA (tRNA) molecules are approximately 80 nucleotides in length. Their secondary structure includes four short double-helical elements and three loops (D, anti-codon, and T loops). Further hydrogen bonds mediate the characteristic L-shaped molecular structure. tRNAs have two regions of fundamental functional importance: the anti-codon, which is responsible for specific mRNA codon recognition, and the 3' end, to which the tRNAs corresponding amino acid is attached (by aminoacyl-tRNA synthetases). tRNAs cope with the degeneracy of the genetic code in two manners: having more than one tRNA (with a specific anti-codon) for a particular amino acid; and 'wobble' base-pairing, i.e. permitting non-standard base-pairing at the 3rd anti-codon position. The record is from RNAcentral. Lineage: Eukaryota; Metazoa; Chordata; Mammalia; Artiodactyla; Bovidae.